This is a long non-coding RNA of Tyto alba (common barn owl), 1665 nucleotides long. RefSeq lists it as uncharacterized. The record is from RefSeq and is a predicted model, not a curated record. The transcript is spliced from 2 exons. NCBI's taxonomy places the organism in Eukaryota, Metazoa, Chordata, Aves, Strigiformes, Tytonidae.
GGGGGGGGAUUGGGCUUCACACCAGCUCUUCGUGCCGUGGUGCGAUCAAAACCCUCUUGCAGGAGCGAUUUAGGUUGGCGGCACUUCUCUACAGACAUCUCUAGACGGCGCGUUUCAUCUCCAGGCGCUUUACCAACAGAUUCUCAGAAAACAGACGGCUCUCACUGACAGAUGACAGGGCCUGGUACAACUGAACAAGCAAAGAAGAGGCUCAGACUGACAGAGGAACAUGGUACAGUCACACUGAGACUGACCUGCAGGGACGAGGAUAGAGACCAAAACCACAACGCUCAACACACAGGAUUGCUCCUCAUAACACACUUAAGUCACUGGCGUAACCAGCAGAAAUACUCAGGAAGACUGAAUAGUAGAAUGUAAUUUAUUGCGUGAAAGUAAUUUGUCCCAACAGAGGGUUUAAGAAGCCUGUUCUCCAAGGGGAGAGAAAAGAGCUGGAGACAGAGAGGAACCAUUUGCAGUCUAGGAGGGUCCUGCACAGCCCGCGGAGGGGGACGCCCAGUCGCAGUGCACAAUGUCAGCGACCGGCCGUGGCUCCGAAGGGCACCCAGCGCUGCGAGGCCUCCAGCUGGGGAGUGCCCGGGCACCCCGCCGAGACGGGCGCCGUAUCGGGGCUGGACGGCGAUGCCCCUGGGAAAGGGCCCCCUCCCGAGCCACCACAGCGGCCUGCUUUUUAUGCCCAGGUGGUGUGCAGAGCUCUGCCCAACAGGCAACUCAAAACACGAGCCAAACGUUCACACUUUGUAUCUCUCUCCAAAACGCUGCCUGUGUGCCUUUUUCUUAACUGACACAGUUACUGCCCUGAAUUCUCUUCUCUGAUAAAAGAGAAUGUCUUAUGUAAUUGAACUUUUAAUAUCCAAAUAACAUUUUAGAAACAACUACGGCAAACUGAAAUAUGACAAAAAAAAAAAUGUUCAUCAAGCCUAAACACAGGAGGCACCAGCAAACUGUCACGCCCGGUGCCACGCAGCCAGCGUCACGCUGUAUUCCCGAUCGUGACACAGAAUACUGGCUGUAUUUACCACAUCGCUCCCCCUGAGAACGGAGGAAAACGAGCCAAGGGCCUACAAGUACAAAACUGCCUCCCCUUGUCUACACAAGGUUUCCUAAGAAGAAAUAAAACACAUUCUUUACAGUUCUCAGGACACAUAGCUAUACUAGGAGAUAAUUCUACUUCAAGGACUAAGAUCAAUAAUUUGCAUCAGACAUUUUAGGAUUUUUAAGAGGAGAAAGUCAAGUCAAUGUGAAUGCAAUGCAAAUAUAGCUCAAUUAAAAAAUAAGAACCACAAACGUAUAAAGGACACAAGAUAUACUUCAAAAUAGAAAGAAGAGUAUCGUGAUCAAAAUGGCAUUUCCAGAUUAUGUGUUGAGCAACAACAAAGUCUUCUGACAAUGUCUCACUUCAUAAUCACAAGAAGCCCAGGCAGCUAGGCCAGGCCCCACUGGCAGGAAGUCCUUUACACUGGCAGAAUGCUGCCUGAACACAGCGGUGUUUCUCUCUGUUUGUAACCACCUUUUUUUAUACCACAACUACUUGAAAUUAUUUUUGUUAGAGUUCAGAUCUGUUGUCAUCCAAAGGUGAAUGAACAACUUCUAAUUUCUCAUCUUAUGCCACUCCCCCCCAAUCGCUCAAAACUUUAUUUUUUUCAA